Molecule: long non-coding RNA, 422 nt
Organism: Ipomoea nil (Japanese morning glory)
Lineage: Eukaryota; Viridiplantae; Streptophyta; Magnoliopsida; Solanales; Convolvulaceae
Exons: 3
Source: RefSeq, a predicted model, not a curated record
UUAUGUUUGAAGUUAGUAUGCCACUUUGACAUUGUAUUUGUGUAUUUAUUUGUUCUUUGAAUUUUCUUGUUAAGCUUGUUGGACAACUGGACAAGAUGAAGAAGAACAAUAUAACAUAUUGUACUGUGUCAAUAUCGUAGUAUUUUCUUACGAAGGUUACAACACGUACAAUUGAUGAAUAUUCAAGUCCAAGUGUUGGUUCUUCAAACAAUACCUAUUGAGAUAGUAGAAGGAAAUCCAACAUACAAAUGUGGAAAUCAUAGAAUUUGAAGGUGAGGCGACACAAAAAUAAGAGAGUAUUAGUGGUGUUCAGAGUUGGAAGUAUGAUCAAGCAAGGAUGAGAGAUGUUAUAUCUUACAUGAUUAUGGUUCAUGAAUUACCAUUUUCCUUUGUUGAGUAUGAAAUCUUCAACAUAAUCAUGC